Molecule: ribosomal RNA, 239 nt
Filed under: uncultured bacterium
Lineage: Bacteria
Description: partial 16S ribosomal RNA
Rfam family: Bacterial small subunit ribosomal RNA
Source: RNAcentral
GCGUUAUUCGGAAUUAUUGGGCGUAAAGGGCGCGUAGGCGGCUGUACAAGUCAAAGGUGAAAUCCCUCGGCUCAACUGAGGAACUGCCUUUGAAACUGUCUGGCUUGAGGCCGGGAGAGGGUAGCGGAAUUCCCAGUGUAGCGGUGAAAUGCGUAGAUAUUGGGAGGAACACCAGUGGCGAAGGCGGCUACCUGGACCGGUUCUGACGCUGAGGCGCGAAAGCGUGGGUAGCAAACAGG